GUCCCGGAAUUACGCGCUAGUUGAUAGUCAGCGACACCUCCCAGAAUCCAGAUAUUGAGAUUCUCUUGGCCGCCGGUUCGAGUCCGGCCCGGGGCACCA
RNAcentral lists this transfer RNA (99 nucleotides) under Arthrobacter wenxiniae. RNAcentral's name for it is "Arthrobacter sp. AETb3-4 tRNA-OTHER". The record is from RNAcentral. Lineage: Bacteria; Bacillati; Actinomycetota; Actinomycetes; Micrococcales; Micrococcaceae.